AGAUAAGACAGCUGAAUGAUAGUCGGGCUGAAGACUCUACUUGACUAGCUGAGAGGAGGUGCAUGGCCGUCGUCAGUUCGUACUGUGAAGCAUCCUGUUAAGUCAGGCAACGAGCGAGACCCACGCCAACAGUUGCCAGCUCGUCCUCCGGGAUGGUGGGGACACUGUUGGGACCGCCUCUGCUAAAGAGGAGGAAGGAAUGGGCAACGGUAGGUCAGCAUGCCCCGAAUUAUCUGGGCUACACGCGGGCUACAAUGGGUGGGACAAUGGGUAUCGACACCGAAAGGUGAAGGCAAUCUCCUAAACCCAUCCGUAGUUCGGAUUGUGGGCUGCAACUCGCCCACAUGAAGCUGGAAUCUGUAGUAAUCGUGUCUCAAAAUGGCACGGUGAAUAUGUCCCCUGCUCCUU
Molecule: ribosomal RNA, 408 nt
Filed under: uncultured Methanomicrobiales archaeon
Lineage: Archaea; Methanobacteriati; Methanobacteriota; Methanomicrobia; Methanomicrobiales
Description: bacterial SSU rRNA
Rfam family: Archaeal small subunit ribosomal RNA
Source: RNAcentral